This 240-nucleotide unclassified non-coding RNA is filed under the name soil metagenome. RNAcentral describes it as "partial contains 5.8S ribosomal RNA, internal transcribed spacer 2, and large subunit ribosomal RNA". The record is from RNAcentral.
AACCAUAGAAACCUGCGGAGUACCUGCGGAGGGAUCAUUAUAGUAUACGGAAUCUCCAUUCUAUAAACCCACUCUGCGUAUCUUGUAACUGUUGCUUCCAUGGGACUUGGUUCCGCCACACCGGCUUCACGGCUGGUGAGCGCCCAUGGAAGGAGAAACAAAACUCUUCUUUGAAAUGUAGUCAGUCUGAACAAGUUUUUAUAAACGUUAAAACUUUCAGCAAUGGAUCUCAGAUCGGAA